RNAcentral lists this ribosomal RNA (737 nucleotides) under Lepra aff. subventosa. RNAcentral describes it as "SSU rRNA". It matches the Rfam family "Bacterial small subunit ribosomal RNA", at positions 433 to 1258 of the family's 1533-position model. Lineage: Eukaryota; Fungi; Ascomycota; Lecanoromycetes; Pertusariales; Pertusariaceae. The record is from RNAcentral.
UUAUCAGCAGCAUCGACUCUGUCGACUAAAGUUCUAGAUAGAAUUUGAUAAUGACAUUUUCUAUCUAUGUGUCUUGACCAAAUCACGUGCCAGCAGUCGCGGUAAUACGUGGAAGACUAGUGUUAUUCAUCUUUAAUUGGUUUAAAGGGUACCUAGACGAUUUGUUAAGCCAGGGUACUGACAAACUAGAGUUUAUGCGAGGGGGGGUGUAAUCAUGGAGUAGAGAUGAAAUUUUAUUAUACCAGUAUGACAGGCAACGGCGAAAGCGACCCUUUAUGUAAAACUGACGUUGAAGGACGAAGGCUCGAUACACCAAAAGGAUUAGUUACCCUAGCAGUCUGAGCAGAAAAUGAUGAAUGUCAUAGGUAAGAAUUGCCUAUAAAUGAAAGUGUAAGCAUUCCACCUCAAGAGUAAUGCGGCAACGCAUAAACUGAAAUCAUUAGACCGUUUCUGAAACCAGUAGUGAAGUAUGUUGUUUAAUUUGAUGGUCCGCAAAGAACCUUACCACAAUUUGUAUAUUUAUUUAUACUAAAUACAAGAGUUGCACGGCUGUCUUCAGUUAAUGUCGUGAGAUUUUGGUUAGUUCCAUUAAAUUAACGUAAACCCUUACUUUAUUUUAAUAUGAAGUACAUAAUCGCUACAGUAGUAAGGUAACAGGGAAUAAGACAAGCCAUCAUGGCCUGAAUAUUGUGGGCUAUAGACGUGCCACAUAAGCCUACAAAGGGACGCGAAGUUGU